GCAGGCUUAGCGUCUGAUAUUCGACGAAUUCACAAGCCACCCCCACUCAAGCUCCCAUAAUCAGGCGCGCCGCUAAGAACGGCGUGUGGGUGCUAAACCAUCUACCAAGGGUUCGAAUCCCUUACCCUCGCC
This 132-nucleotide transfer RNA is filed under the name Vibrio cholerae. Its description in RNAcentral is "tRNA-Leu". The record is from RNAcentral. Lineage: Bacteria; Pseudomonadati; Pseudomonadota; Gammaproteobacteria; Vibrionales; Vibrionaceae.